Molecule: ribosomal RNA, 158 nt
Filed under: uncultured bacterium
Lineage: Bacteria
Description: partial 16S ribosomal RNA
Rfam family: Bacterial small subunit ribosomal RNA
Source: RNAcentral
UCCUACGGGAGGCAGCAGUAGGGAAUUUUCGGCAAUGGAGGAAACUCUGACCGAGCAACGCCGCGUGAAUGACGAAGUACUUCGGUAUGUAAAGUUCUUUUAUCAGGGAAGAAUGGGCAGUGGAAAACUGAUGACGUACUUGAGAUAGCCAGUCGUUC